This 506-nucleotide ribosomal RNA is filed under the name uncultured bacterium. Its description in RNAcentral is "partial 16S ribosomal RNA". It matches the Rfam family "Bacterial small subunit ribosomal RNA", at positions 28 to 523 of the family's 1533-position model. The record is from RNAcentral.
GAUGAACGCUAGCUACAGGCUUAACACAUGCAAGUCGAGGGGUAACGAGAGGAAAGCUUGCUUUCCUUGUCGACGACCGGCGCACGGGUGAGUAACGCGUAUCCAACCUGCCCCCAACUAGGGAAUAACCUUGCGAAAGUAAGACUAAUACCCUAUAAUUUCCUCAGAUGUCAUCUGAAGAGGACUAAAGAUUUAUCGGUUGUGGAUGGGGAUGCGUCUGAUUAGCUUGUUGGCGGGGUAACGGCCCACCAAGGCAACGAUCAGUAGGGGUUCUGAGAGGAAGGUCCCCCACAUUGGAACUGAGACACGGUCCAAACUCCUACGGGAGGCAGCAGUGAGGAAUAUUGGUCAAUGGGCGGAAGCCUGAACCAGCUAAGUAGCGUGCAGGAUGACGGCCCUAUGGGUUGUAAACUGCUUUUAUACAGGAAUAAAGUUAGCCACGUGUGGUUAUUUGUAGGUACUGUAUGAAUAAGGACCGGCUAAUUCCGUGCCAGCCGCCGCUGUAA